AUGAACGCUGGCGGCGUGCCUCAUACAUGCAAGUCGAGCGAACAGACGAGGAGCUUGCUCCUCUGACGUUAGCGGCGGACGGGUGAGUAACACGUGGAUAACCUACCUAUAAGACUGGGAUAACUUCGGGAAACCGGAGCUAAUACCGGAUAAUAUAUUGAACCGCAUGGUUCAAUAGUGAAAGACGGUUUUGCUGUCACUUAUAGAUGGAUCCGCGCCGCAUUAGCUAGUUGGUAAGGUAACGGCUUACCAAGGAGACGAUGCGUAGCCGACCUGAGAGGGUGAUCGGCCACACUGGAACUGAGACACGGUCCAGACUCCUACGGGAGGCAGCAGUAGGGAAUCUUCCGCAAUGGGCGAAAGCCUGACGGAGCAACGCCGCGUGAGUGAUGAAGGUCUUCGGAUCGUAAAACUCUGUUAUUAGGGAAGAACAAAUGUGUAAGUAACUAUGCACGUCUUGACGGUACCUAAUCAGAAAGCCACGGCUAACUACGUG
Molecule: ribosomal RNA, 496 nt
Filed under: uncultured bacterium
Lineage: Bacteria
Description: partial 16S ribosomal RNA
Rfam family: Bacterial small subunit ribosomal RNA
Source: RNAcentral